CCAUCUCUGGAGUACUCGCCAGCCGGUCUGACUCCCCUGAGCCGUGAAUUAUUUCCUAAUUGAAAAGCGUUUCUGAAUAGUUAGCAUGUAUGCCUACCUAGAGUAGGAAACCCAGACAAUAUACAGCAUUUUCCACCUUGAACCUGAGUGUUCAAGGGUAAAGACAGCAGUGGUACUUCUGGAGAUUAU
This 189-nucleotide non-coding RNA is filed under the name Acinetobacter proteolyticus. Its description in RNAcentral is "6S". It matches the Rfam family "6S / SsrS RNA". From Rfam's summary of the family: E. coli 6S RNA was the first non coding RNA to be sequenced, but its function was unknown until recently. It consists of 184 nucleotides that fold into an extended hairpin structure with a large single-stranded internal bulge. The record is from RNAcentral. Lineage: Bacteria; Pseudomonadati; Pseudomonadota; Gammaproteobacteria; Moraxellales; Moraxellaceae. RNAcentral also lists the same sequence under 1 other name.